UUUCCCGAGUGGGGCGGUGUUCGCUCAGGGCGCGGACUAGAUGAAGUGGACUAAACCACAGCCUGCCAGAAGCCCUGGUGCGCAGAAGAGCCCCGACACAGCACGUCCGAGGCUGCCAGCCAGGGCCUGCUGGCCAGGGUGGCCCUCCACUGGUGUCUGGAAACGUGGCUGCGAAACAGCUCCCUACACUGACAACAACUUUCCCGCUACGGGAACAAGGGUUUGAGCCCUGGGCCGGGAAGAUCCCACAUGCUGUGGAGCAACUAAGCCCGUGCGCCAUAACUACUGAGCCUGCUCUCUGGAGCCCAUGAGCCACAACUACUGAAGCCCGUGUAACACAACUACUGAGUUCGUGUGCCUAGAGCCCGUGCUCUGCAACAAGAGAAGCCACCGCGAUGAGAAGCCCAUGCACUGCAACAAAGAGUAGCCCCCGCUCGCUGCAACUAGAGAAAGCCUGUACGCAGCAAUGAAGAA
This is a long non-coding RNA of Eubalaena glacialis (North Atlantic right whale), 474 nucleotides long. RefSeq lists it as uncharacterized. NCBI's taxonomy places the organism in Eukaryota, Metazoa, Chordata, Mammalia, Artiodactyla, Balaenidae. The record is from RefSeq and is a predicted model, not a curated record. The transcript is spliced from 3 exons.